Small nuclear RNA from Hemicordylus capensis (graceful crag lizard), 128 nucleotides. The record is from RefSeq and is a predicted model, not a curated record. NCBI's taxonomy places the organism in Eukaryota, Metazoa, Chordata, Lepidosauria, Squamata, Cordylidae.
UGGUGGGAUGGAAGGAGAGACAGUUAGCACUCCCCUUGAUAAGGAUGGAAGAGGUCCUGGUGGCCUUUAAAACAUGCAUGGAUUUAAGGCAUUGCCACUUACUUUGUGGCAUCUAGCCAAGUUUGUUU